Molecule: ribosomal RNA, 253 nt
Filed under: uncultured bacterium
Lineage: Bacteria
Description: partial 16S ribosomal RNA
Rfam family: Bacterial small subunit ribosomal RNA
Source: RNAcentral
UACGUAGGGGGCGAGCGUUGUCCGGAUUUAUUGGGCGUAAAGAGCGUGUAGGCGGCCAGGUGGGUCUGCUGUGAAAACUCGAGGCUCAACCUCGAGACGUCGGCGGAAACCAUCUGGCUAGAGUCCGGAAGAGGAGAGUGGAAUUCCUGGUGUAGCGGUGAAAUGCGCAGAUAUCAGGAGGAACACCAACGGCGAAGGCAGCUCGCUGGGACGGUACUGACGCUGAGGCGCGAAAGCGUGGGGAGCGAACAGG